RNAcentral lists this ribosomal RNA (499 nucleotides) under uncultured bacterium. RNAcentral describes it as "SSU rRNA". It matches the Rfam family "Bacterial small subunit ribosomal RNA", at positions 26 to 523 of the family's 1533-position model. The record is from RNAcentral.
AGGACGAACGCUGGCGGCGUGCUUAACACAUGCAAGUCGAGCGGUAAGGCCUCUUCGGGGGUACACGAGCGGCGAACGGGUGAGUAACACGUGGGCGACCUGCCCUCAGCUCUGGGAUAAGCCUGGGAAACUGGGUCUAAUACCGGAUAUGACCUUCUCUCGCAUGGGGGUUGGUGGAAAGUCCUGGGCUUUUGUCUGGGUUCGGCUGGGGAUGGGCCCGCGGCCUAUCAGCUUGUUGGUGGGGUGAUGGCCUACCAAGGCGACGACGGGUAGCCGGCCUGAGAGGGCGACCGGCCACACUGGGACUGAGACACGGCCCAGACUCCUACGGGAGGCAGCAGUGGGGAAUAUUGCGCAAUGGGCGGAAGCCUGACGCAGCGACGCCGCGUGGGGAUGACGGCCUUCGGGUUGUAACCUCUUUCGACCUUGACGAAGGCUUUCGGGUUGACGGUAGGGUAGAAGAAGCGACCGGCCAACUACGUGCCAGCAGCCGCGGUAA